Molecule: long non-coding RNA, 4114 nt
Filed under: Marmota monax (woodchuck)
Lineage: Eukaryota; Metazoa; Chordata; Mammalia; Rodentia; Sciuridae
Source: RNAcentral
CCUUCAUCUCGGCACAAUAACUCUGCUGCCACUGCCGCUGGCCUUGAAUGAGGGCCAGGCACUUUGAAACAUGAGGCUGUCAGCAGAGGUGAGGAAGCUGCUUCCAGGGCCUGGAGGGAAGGUGGGUGGCUGUUUACUUGCUCCUCAUUCCUCUGUUAUUUGGUUUGAUUUUGCCAGUAAAGCCUGGGCAGGAGGAAGGAAAGGAGGGAGAGAGGGGCAGAGGAAGGAGUGGGGUGGAGGAGGGGGCUCAGGAGCCGGUGUGUCUGGAGGAGGAAGGGUGGGCCCAGAAGCCAGAGAGGGAAGGAGGACGUCGGUGGGAUUUUCACUGUCCCAACAGCUGACCUGAGGCUGGCUCAUGGCUUCCCAGAGUGCAGAUGGAGAGAGCAGGUCUCACGGAGGGUCUGUGCUCUCCCUUCCCACCCCCUGCCAGCAUGCCUGCCCCUGAGAGACCUCCCUGUCCUGUCCUCAGUCCCUCUGGGCAGGGCUGGGAGGGAAGAAAUGAUGAGGUAGGGGGCUAAAAACAGAACCGUCCAGACUGGAGGGUCUCGGCUUGUGUCCCACCUGUCUGAGAGCAACAAUGAACCGCAAUCCGGUGGCUCCAGGUUACAGCCAGAGAAAGCCCAACCUGGAAAUGCAGGCCUGGGUUGGCUGUGGGGGCUGAUCCCAGAGAGUGUCCAGCAGUGAGGCCAGGAGGACACAACCUGAAGAACACAGUCAGUGACCUGGAAAUUGAGAAGACAACAUAGGAGUGACGAGAAGCCAGGCGGCCUGAAGGUGUCCGAAGAGGCUGGUGAGCCCUGCUGGUCCCAGCACCGGGAUGGGUUAAGCAGCCUCACGCUAAUCCCAGCUGUCCCUUACCAGCUGCCAGGCCUGGAGUGCCUGCCUCUCCUCUAGGGCUCCCUUCCCUGUCCACAGAACUGACCACCACUCGUUGCAGGGGUGUCUUCGAGGUCAGCUGAGAGGGAUGGAAAGCAGCACUUGUGCCCUCGGUUGAGGGGACGCGUGGGCAGAAGAGGCCUCAGGAGGGACAAGACAACAGCUUCACCGGAGCCAAGCAGGGACCAGGAAGAAAGGGCACAGCGGGCCACAGCGGAGCUCAGACCAGACCUGGAGCAUGGAGGACCGGGACUCGAGGGCCCACCCCGGUGAGAAGAGGCACAUCUUGUCAGUGGAGUGGACGCACUGUGCUCUGCUGUCCAAGAGGGGACGUGGGGACCCCCUCCCUCCAGAAGCUGACGGAGGAGCUAGAGUAUCACCCUCUGCAGCCCCCAGGAAGGAGUGGACCCACCACUGACCAUCCUGCCAGUUAUCCAGCGGGCAAUGCACUACCUCAGCCCAGGUCCACCCUCCAGUACCUGCUCUGAGAUGGUGACACGGUGUCCAGCUUCGUCAGCAGAGGGUGCCAGGGACGUUGCAGGAAGAUUGGGGCUUUGGUUCUGCUCUGGACAUGCGGUCUGGGAGCAUCCAGCGAAGCUCUGCCCUGCCAUACAUCCAGAAGGCGCAGUUGCUCUGCGACCCCAGGCCCAGCCUGAACCAGGGCCCAGCGUGCCUCAGCCCUGCCUCGUGGACACUGCACUGUGGCCUCCCUCACAGUGCUUCCCCACCUGCUUCUGGCCUCUGCUUCCAGCACCAGCUGGCUCUCCUGCACCAGGACUUGGCUUCCCCCGGCCGCUCCUGUGCACACGCAGGAUUCCCCCCAUAUUGUCAGGCAAUUGUAAAAUUUUUAAAAAAUGUAAAACAUGCAUUACCAAAACCCCAAUAAUUCAAUUUCUAAAUAUCCAGUUUAGAGAAAUUAUCCAGUAGGUGAGCAAAAUGGUAAUUUUCUGCAGUGUUUUUUUGCAAGAGCAAAACCCCUAGAAGCAAACUACAUGUCCAGCAGGGAGAAAGUGGUUAACAAAAAGAAGCAAACAAAACUUGGUGUAUCUGCUGGGCAGCAGUUAAAGCCCAUGGGUCAGCGCAGCAAAGAACUCCAACACACAUUAUUCAGUGGAGCAAGCAGAGUCAUGUGUUUCAUUUGAUCCCAUUUCCAAAAAAAAAACCAAAAUGAAGUAAAGCUAGUAGAAUAACCCCACCCCCAAAAUGAUAUUUGUAACUGUUGAUAUAUGCACAUGAUUUUCUGUAUAUUUCUGCUUUGUUGAUUUUUCAUAAUAUGCUCCUUGUGCUUUUCAAUUUGCUUUUAUUUUACAUUACAAGUGUUUACUGAGUUUUGCAAAAAACAAAUUUCCAGUGACCUGAGUGAGACCAGUUUCUGAGGCAUGCAGUGGACUGGGAGCCUCCUCAGAAGUCAUGUCCAGUGCUGAGGCAGCCCCACUCAAGGCCCCUGGCCCCACUAGAGCAUAGAUAACCAGCCAAGUUUCAAGAAAGAAAACUCCAGUGCCUGUUUCCUGUGUCCAAGGGUUUCCUCAGAUGUAUCUCGUCAUUGGACUUUAGGGCCAGAGGGUCCUCAGAGACCAGCUGAGUCAGUUGCUGACUUUUAAGGCUAAACAAGCUGAGGUUCUGAGGAGCCAGGGGAGGGACUUAAGAUCCCCAGAAUGUUGGACAUUUUUAUUAAAAGGGUUUCUUGCUGAGUACCAAGAGGGCAGCAGGACAGUGUGCCCAGGACACCUCUGAGAGCCUGGGAGCCCAGAGGAAGCACCUAGGGAACCAUGUUCAGAACAGACCCCAGCUCGGCAUUCUCGUGACGCUGCUCAGGCCCUGCCGGGGCGCCUGGCAUCCAGCCUACAGUGCCCCCAGGCUCUGGAGAGCCAGCACGGGCUUGGGCUUGUCCUUGGAAGGACAGCGCAUGCUCCUCUGCACCAGGGGACUGUUCCAACCAGGGUCACUGUGCAGAAAGACCCAUAAGGUUAACCUCAUUCCUGCCCUGGCAGGCUGCUGUUGCAAGAGGAGGGGGCAGUGCUUACAGCGUGGGAGUCCAGGGACGUUGAUUCCGGCCUGACUAAUAAGGCCCAGCCUCUGAUGGGCAGAGUGGGGAGAUGCACUGGAUGAGGAGUUGGCCACCCAGGAGGGUUCAGAGUCGGUUCCCAGACAGACCCAGCUGUGUGCGGAAGCUGGUCCUUCAGGUCCUCCUGGUGGGAGUUAAUGGUCAGUUGGUUCCCAGCUCACUGUUCUGGGAAGCCUUUAGUUUGUUGGGAAGUACUGGGAGUUGAACCUGGGGCCCCCCCUACCACGGAGCUCCAUCCCAGGCUAUUUUAUUUUUUAAAUUUUGAGACAGGGUCUCACCAAGUUGCCAUAUGACCAUGGACUUGGGAUCCUCCUGCCUUGGCCUCCCAAGGAGCUGGAAUUCUAGGUGUGGGCCACCAUGCCAGCUUCAUAAAAUCUCUUUAGAAAAUUUCAGGAAGCUGGCUCGUUUGGGAUCUGAGGAACAAAGAGAGGAUAGGGCAUCAGGACGCCCGAUUCCAUUCUCUGGACUGUCGUUAGAUAACGGUACCCUUGGACAGAUGGACAUGUUGGGAUCCCUGGUUCUGCCUCUGCUGUGGUCUGAGGUGUGAAAAGAAGGUUGGAGGGCCUCUGCAUGUGGGCUGGCACUCGGACCAGCCCUGGUGGUUCUGCAGUGCAGAAAGGCUUCUGUGGGCAUUUCAGUCUGUUUUAUUUUUAACUAAUACCGUAAUUGUACAGAGUUUUUUUUACAUGUAGGGUAAAUUACAUAUUUUUACAGUGUGAUUAUAUAAAAAGGAACAGAAAAAAAGUGAUCAAAAGAAAGUUCCCUGUAUUCCUAUCAUUCAGAUUCAACAUUUGACACCUGGUUCUACUUCCUUGAUAGUUUGAUGUAAAUAUUUUCUUCAAUAAGUAAUAGAUUUGCUUGUUUUGGGCUCAUAUCCAAGAAAAUAAUUAAUAAACUGGGAGAAAGGGAAUAUGUUAAAAAGUCAAGUAAAAUUAAUCGAUACAGUAAUGGUGUGUUAUUGUCACUGAAUGGCAGGCCAGGGCCAGGUGAAGGGAUGCUGUUUAAGUUAUUAUUUCUAGGUGUGCAUACAGAAUUGAGGCAAACCACAGCCCUAUUUGAAGUGUCAUGCAAAGGUGAACAAGGAACACAGAGUUAACACAUAAAAAUGCAUAUUGUUUGAAAUUAUAGUCAAUGUUUCUAAAUCAUAUAUUCAACAAAACAAAAUAGAAAUCA